UACGAAGGGGGCUAGCGUUGCUCGGAAUCACUGGGCGUAAAGCGCACGUAGGCGGAUUGCUAAGUCAGGGGUGAAAUCCUGGAGCUCAACUCCAGAACUGCCUUUGAUACUGGCGAUCUCGAGUCCGGGAGAGGUGAGUGGAACUGCGAGUGUAGAGGUGAAAUUCGUAGAUAUUCGCAAGAACACCAGUGGCGAAGGCGGCUCACUGGCCCGGUACUGACGCUGAGGUGCGAAAGCGUGGGGAGCAAACAGGAUUAGAUACCCCUGUAGUCC
RNAcentral lists this ribosomal RNA (273 nucleotides) under uncultured bacterium. RNAcentral's name for it is "partial 16S ribosomal RNA". It matches the Rfam family "Bacterial small subunit ribosomal RNA", at positions 524 to 796 of the family's 1533-position model. The record is from RNAcentral.